UACAGAACUGUGAUGUUCUGAAAGACGCGUUUAAGCCCAACAGUCUCAUUGAAUAAUAUACUGCCCUCCCUAACGAGACCUACCCAAACAUCAGAAGGAAUGCAAUGAAGAUGUCCACACUUUUUGGCAGCACGUAUAUCUGUGAGCAAACCAUUUCACGCAUGAAACUGAUGAAAAAUCCGAUGAGAUCAAGACUCACUGAUGAACAUUUGCAUCAGUCUUUGAGACUGGCUGUGACUGGAAUGGAACCUGACAUUGGACUUCUCACCAGGCAGAAACAAGCCCAUAGUUCACACUGAUUAGCCUAAUACGCAUGAACGUCGAACCUGUUUGAGCACAGGUUGUAGGUUCAUAUACAGUCGGUGGCUGUUGCUGAGCAGUUGCAGGAGAUGUUGUGAACGCAGAGGGCAGCCAGUGUAGUAGAUGAGCUUUCUGGCUGAGGGCAAACCAUCAGGAAGAAUCUCAAACCUCUUCCCCUGUGAAAAAGAAUACAGGUGAACAGUUCAGAUUCAGGAGGUACAUGCCCACCUCGACUGCACAUCCUAGCACAGAAACCGAUUGUGUGGAGCAGUGCACGCUUAUUCAUUACACGCAAUGCAUGUCCCAGGCAUAAUAAACACGAGUGUGGAUUUGCUGUAUGGAGAAUGGAGACUUCCCCACAAGCUGUGAACCAUGUGUGCAAGAGAUGCAGGAAAGCUUCUUCUCUUCGCAUCACCCGAAAACUCUUACUCACUGUCAUCUGAAACAGUCAGUCAAAAGAAAAAACGUGCGAGAGAGACCGAGCAUGUGCGCUCGAGACUGAAUGGAAGCCAGAGAAAAUUAUAGUUCCAAGAUUUUAAACUUCAGCAAAUUAAACUUCAGCAUUCAAUUUGUUUUAUAUCCAUGUUGUAUGUAUACUAUCUAAUAAUGCAUUGGCAAUGUACACUGAAGUUCUCUUGCAAAUAAAGAUUGAUAUGAAUUAAAUCUGCCAAUUUGAUCCUACUAGUGAAAAAGUCCACUGAAACAUGACAUAAUAUUUUGCCAACUUAUAAUUACAGCAUGUCCACUGAUAUUAUGACAUGUAUACUGUACAUAAACUUGCAUUAAAAAUGUAUACCUGUAAAAAUGUGUCUAACUAACUCAAUCCACAAUUUCUUUUUAACAUGUUCAUUUUUAAAUAAUUAAAUUAAAUGAU
This is a long non-coding RNA of Xyrauchen texanus (razorback sucker), 1174 nucleotides long. RefSeq lists it as uncharacterized. The transcript has 3 exons. NCBI's taxonomy places the organism in Eukaryota, Metazoa, Chordata, Actinopteri, Cypriniformes, Catostomidae. The record is from RefSeq and is a predicted model, not a curated record.